UACGGAGGGUGCGAGCGUUGCCCGGAUUUAUUGGGCGUAAAGGGUGCGUAGGUGGUCGUUUAAGUCCGUUGUGAAAUCCCUGGGCUCAACCUGGGAAUGGCAGUGGAUACUGGACGGCUAGAAUGCGGUAGAGGGUAGUGGAAUUCCCGGUGUAGCAGUGAAAUGCGUAGAUAUCGGGAGGAACACCUGUGGCGAAAGCGGCUCACUGGACCACAACUGACGCUGAGGCGCGAAAGCUAGGGGAGCAAACAGG
This 253-nucleotide ribosomal RNA is filed under the name uncultured bacterium. RNAcentral describes it as "partial 16S ribosomal RNA". It matches the Rfam family "Bacterial small subunit ribosomal RNA", at positions 524 to 776 of the family's 1533-position model. The record is from RNAcentral.